Molecule: long non-coding RNA, 281 nt
Filed under: Elaeis guineensis (African oil palm)
Lineage: Eukaryota; Viridiplantae; Streptophyta; Magnoliopsida; Arecales; Arecaceae
Description: long non-coding RNA (EGUI_LNC035689)
Source: RNAcentral
GGUGGAGUGAUCUCCUAAUAUCUCAUUCUUUCAAGUCAAAUCAAAAAUUUAAGUUAUCCUUCGUUUUAUCCUUGAUGUUCAAGAUCAUUGACAAUAGGAGCUCGCACAUAUUUUUUUUAAUGUGCAGGACAUCUAUGCAGUAGUGCAAUAAGUUUGUCUCCCAAAAUGGCAAGUCAAAGAAUACAUUUUUUUUUCUCCAAUUAAAGUGUGUGUUACCUGUCUUUGAUCGAUGCUUUCUCUUUUUACCAUCAAUCAAAUCACUUUUUUCAAAUUCAACACUA